Molecule: long non-coding RNA, 603 nt
Organism: Penaeus chinensis
Lineage: Eukaryota; Metazoa; Arthropoda; Malacostraca; Decapoda; Penaeidae
Exons: 2
Source: RefSeq, a predicted model, not a curated record
GACGCCGCCUCUUCGCUCCGAGUCGACACGCGGUGCCACGCGCUCCCCCGGCCGGACGACGCGCGCGCUCGCCGGCGUGGCACCUCGUCGCGUGUGCCGUUGUUGCAAAUCAUUCUCGGAGUCGGAGUCCGGAUGUUGCAUUCCCGCAACUGUAGCUGAAUGUUGCUCAUCAUUUUCGCGUUUCGGUUUUGCGUUUUCCUAUCCGCUUAAUGGCUGCACGUAACCCGGAUGUUGCAAAUCAUUCUCGCAAACGUAGUCAAAUAUUGCCAAUCACACUCGCGUUUUUUGCUUUUUUUUUGCAUUUGCCAUUUAGCAAGUGACACUUCUUCCUUCCAUUCUUAAAAGAAAUAAUCUUUUCGCUGGACUAACAUGCAAUUUACCGUGAACUGUUGAAGACAAGAAUGUAAAGAAGAUAUAUACUUCAUUCUUAAGAGUCGACGAACUUUUUUUGUGUCAACCUGGACUGAACUUCGUUGUAAAUAAGGAGAGAAGAGAAGACUUCAGCAGCGAAAGGAUAUACUAAUGUGAAUAAAUAUAAAUAAAGAGAAAAAGAUAAACAGAUAGAUCAGUGAAUACGCAAACAGAACUAUAAACUUCAAAGAC